Molecule: non-coding RNA, 74 nt
Organism: Potamilus streckersoni
Lineage: Eukaryota; Metazoa; Mollusca; Bivalvia; Unionida; Unionidae
Source: the annotation of a GenBank genome assembly
CGCUCUGGUGACCUCUUGGUUAGAGCGUCCGCCUCGAAUGCGGGAAGUCGCGGGUUCGAACCCCGGCUGAGUCA